This 497-nucleotide ribosomal RNA is filed under the name uncultured bacterium. RNAcentral's name for it is "partial 16S ribosomal RNA". It matches the Rfam family "Bacterial small subunit ribosomal RNA", at positions 28 to 507 of the family's 1533-position model. The record is from RNAcentral.
GAUGAACGCUGGCGGCGUGCCUAAUACAUGCAAGUCGAGCGAACGGACGAGAAGCUUGCUUCUCUGAUGUUAGCAGCGGACGGGUGAGUAACACGUGGAUAACCUACCUAUAAGACUGGGAUAACUUCGGGAAACCGUAGCUAAUACCGGAUAAUAUUUUGAACCGCAUGGUUCAAAAGUGAAAGACGGUCUUGCUGUCACUUAUAGAUGGAUCCGCGCUGCAUUAGCUAGUUGGUAAGGUAACGGCUUACCAAGGCAACGAUGCAUAGCCGACCUGAGAGGGUGAUCGGCCACACUGGCACUGAGACACGGUCCAGACUCCUACGGGAGGCAGCAGUAGGGAAUCUUCCGCAAUGGGCGAAAGCCUGACGGAGCAACGCCGCGUGAGUGAUGAAGGUCUUCGGAUCGUAAAACUCUGUUAUUAGGGAAGAACAUAUGUGUAAGUAACUGUGCACAUCUUGACGGUACCUAAUCAGAAAGCCACGGCUAACUACGUG